GCGAACGCUGGCGGCAGGCUUAACACAUGCAAGUCGAACGGGCGUAGCAAUACGUCAGUGGCAGACGGGUGAGUAACGCGUGGGAACGUACCUUUUGGUUCGGAACAACCCAGGGAAACUUGGGCUAAUACCGGAUAAGCCCUUACGGGGAAAGAUUUAUCGCCAAAAGAUCGGCCCGCGUCUGAUUAGCUAGUUGGUGAGGCAACGGCUCACCAAGGCGACGAUCAGUAGCUGGUCUGAGAGGANGAUCAGCCACAUUGGGACUGAGACACGGCCCAAACUCCUACGGGAGGCAGCAGUGGGGAAUAUUGGACAAUGGGCGCAAGCCUGAUCCAGCCAUGCCGCGUGAGUGAUGAAGGCCCUAGGGUUGUAAAGCUCUUUUGUGCGGGAAGAUAAUGACGGUACCGCAAGAAUAAGCCCCGGCUAACUUCGUGCCAGCCGCCGCCGU
This 448-nucleotide ribosomal RNA is filed under the name uncultured bacterium. RNAcentral's name for it is "bacterial SSU rRNA". It matches the Rfam family "Bacterial small subunit ribosomal RNA", at positions 29 to 521 of the family's 1533-position model. The record is from RNAcentral.